CACAUCCUGUGGGGAGAGUGGCCACAGCCCGUUGGUGGCCUGGCUACGCCAAAUGAUGGCUUUGGAUGGCUCAAAGGAUGGCCCAAGCACUCAGAUGAUGGCUAUGGCAUCCCAACUCACGGCAAUGACAUUCCAACCAAUGGUGGCCAGGACGCCUCCAUUCAUAUCUGGGCACCCCAUUCGCGGCCAGGACACCCUGUUCAUGACCAGGACACCCCAAAUGAUGGCUGAAGAACCCACCAACCCACGACGUGGGAUGCCCCAUUGAUGGUCCAAAGCCACCCCGCCAGCCUCCUCGUCCCCGACUCACAUAGAUCUCAUCGAACUUGCCGAAAUCCAUCGUCUUGAAGCGGUCGAUCGGGGGUCGGAUGUACUCACAGUACGAGCUGGACUUCACCACCUCCAGCUGCCGCACGCACGACACAUACGCCAACCGCGACUGGAUCUCUGCCAUGUCGGGCACCUGCCAGGAUGGGGUGUUCAGCACCCUGCGCUGUCCCCAUGGCUGUCCCCACGGGUGUCCCCACGGGUGUCCCCAUGGGUGUCCUCCAUGUUCCGUUACUCCUCACCUUGACUUUUUCAGCCCAAGGGUUGAGGCGCUUCCAGAGCAGCCACCAGCCCGACAGGCUGUCCCCGUAGUUGCACAGGUCCGUCUCGUCCUGGCUGCCCACGUCGAUGGCAAUCACCGUCUUGGCACCCAUGUUGCGGGCGAUGUCAGCUGUAAGGGUGGGGAAGGAGGAAGAUGGGUCGGCAGCUCCACGGUUUCCCCCAUGAGAAGCGGUGGCAGAAGCGGAGCAGGGCAAAGGACCAUUCCCAACCAUGGGCCAGACAGCAAAGUCAUGCCGGGGCCAGUGGGGGGACAAACAGUGUCCCACGGGCAUUGGAUUUGAGGGCACAACGUGCUGGUGGGGAGCAGAGCAGCGAUGCACGUGUAGGGGUGAUGGAAGGAAGCAGGCAAGCUGCGGUGUCUGUAAAUGUGGAGGAACCCCAGGAAGAUACGCAGUGCUGAGGAUACCAGGAGAUGAUGCAAGGUGGAUGGGGAAGGGUUGAACAGGGAGGAGGACGGAGGUGCCCCGGGGGACAAUUGGAGCUGAGAGCAUCAAGAGAUGGUGAUGUAGUGGGGAGGAAGCUGGCUUGCAUGUGAGGAGGAUGGAGAUGCUCCAGAAGAGCACUUGGUGCCAAAGACACCAAGAAACAUGAUUCAGGAUGGCUGCACGUGAAGGAGCACAAAGAUGCCCCAGGAGGGCACCCAGCAGAUGGCGUAGGACAGAGGGAGGUGGCAAGUGGAGGAUGGAAAUGUCCUGGGGAGGACAUGAGGUGUCAAAGACACCGUGAGGUGGUGGGAAAUGCCACACGCAGCAUGAAGGGCAUCUGGUGCUGAAGACACCAACAGGUGUUCAGAAAAUAGAUGGCCAUGUCUUGUCAUACGAAGGACACAGAUGCCCAAAGAGGGCACCCAGUGCUAAGGACACCUAGAGAUGAUGCAGGAUGGAGGGAGGUGGCUGGCACAUGCAGGAGGAUGGAGUUGCCCUGGGAAGGCACGUGGUGCCACGGACAUCAGGAGAGGAGGAUGCAAGUUGGAUGGAAGUGGGGAAGGAGUGCAGGAGAGCACCCAAUGCCAAAGGACACCAAGAGAUGAUGCAACACGGAGGGAUGUUUUUUGUGCACGUAGGAUGAUGAGAGGACGGACACCUAUCGCUAAGAGAAGACGCAAGAUGAAGGGCUGCAUCCUGUAUGCCAAGAAGCAUGAAGAUAUCCUUGGAAGCAGGGGCCAACAAGACCCAGUGCAAGAUGGACGGACACCUUUUGCACAGGAACAAGGAUGAAGAUGCCCCAGGAGGGCACCCAACACUGAAGACACGAACAGGCAAGUCAAAAGUAGGUGGGACAGCCCAAAUCCAGCCUCAGCGUCGCCUUGAAGAGCACUGAAGCCCCAUCCCGUGGUGGCCACACGGUCCCAACCCAACUGCCCACCACCGGGGCUGGACCCGGUGACCAAAAGCCAACGCAAGAUGGAUGGGCACCUUUUGCACAGGAAUGAGGAAGAAGAUGCCCCAAGAGGGCAGCCGACACUGAAGAAACCAACAGGCAACUCAAAACCAAGCUGGACGGCCCAAAUCCAGCCUCAACAGUAGCUUGAAGAGCACUGAAGCCCCAUCCCGUGGUGGCCACGUGGCCCCAACCCAACUGCUCACCACCGGGACCGGACCCAGUGAGGGCGGUGGGAUGCUACUUGCCUGGCAGGUUGUUGAUGUAACCCCCGUCCAUCAGCAAGUUGCCGUCCUUGGGGUCGCAGAGGGGUGGCAGGUACCCAGAUAGGGUCAUGCUGGCUCGCACGUACCGCCAGAGCGAGCCUGCACCGGCGGGGAACAAUUGCAGUGAGCACGGCUUGCCCCGUGCCUGCCUGAGCCCCCCAGGGGGCUGCCCCUCACCCCUGCCCUUGCCCAGGGAUGUCUGCACCCCACGGGGGUCCAGUGGGCACCCAUGGGUGGCAGAGGGGCCGUUUGCAAAGCUCCACCUGGAAUGGGAUAUGUGUGAUUUUUUUU
Molecule: long non-coding RNA, 2546 nt
Organism: Gallus gallus (chicken)
Lineage: Eukaryota; Metazoa; Chordata; Aves; Galliformes; Phasianidae
Exons: 2
Source: RefSeq, a predicted model, not a curated record